GAUUGCGCUGGUUACCUGCGGAGUCCACUUCCUUGGCCGCCCUUGCUACACUGGCUGAUUGUUGUGCAGCCGGCGCCAUGUCUGUGAGCGAGAUCUUCGUGGAGCUGCAGGGCUUUUUGGCUGCCGAGCAGGACAUCCGAGAGGCGAGCCCCCUCCCUUCCCCAUUUCCUUUGCCUUUCCAUGCCUAGUUGGGCCACUUCGCCCGGCCCUCCUCUGUCGCUCAGUCUCGGGCGGUGGGGACGCCUCCGAGGGAAAUCAGAAAAGUUGUACAGAGUUUAGAACAAACAGCUCGAGAGAUUUUAACUCUACUGCAAGGGGUCCAUCAGGGUGCUGGGUUUCAGGACAGUAAGUUCUUUGUUUUGUAUCCAAUUAUCAGUCUCUUAUUUAGAGGGAGAGUUUCUAUCCAGAAGACAUUUUAUAA
Molecule: small RNA, 421 nt
Filed under: Pan troglodytes (chimpanzee)
Lineage: Eukaryota; Metazoa; Chordata; Mammalia; Primates; Hominidae
Description: retained intron
Source: RNAcentral